Molecule: long non-coding RNA, 1146 nt
Organism: Macrobrachium nipponense
Lineage: Eukaryota; Metazoa; Arthropoda; Malacostraca; Decapoda; Palaemonidae
Exons: 2
Source: RefSeq, a predicted model, not a curated record
AAAAAGAUAUUAUUAUUUUUCCUUACCAUAAACAAAAGCUGUUUUUCUUCUCUGAUUUAUAAAUAAACUGCAAACAAUAUUCUGAAAUGUUACAUUCAAUUUACUGUGCUCUUACUUGCUCAAUAAGGACCCAAGAACAUUAAUAAUUUUAAUUAAUAACAACUCUCUUCUCUCAAUUUACAAACUUUAACCUCCAGUACAUUGUAAAAUCAUGGCAUUUGAAAAUCUGAGGAUUACAACCAAGCAUCACUGCUAAAAUGUCCAGAUUAACCAAUCUAAGCUGUGGAGUGGAAAGAAGUUAAUAUUUCUAGUAUUUUUUGACAAAUUUUUAUUAAGAAAAUUUAUCAGUCUUAUUCUAGAAGAAUAAAUUAGUUAAAAUCUUCAAACUUGGGCAAAAUUCUUACCUAAAUUCAAAUUUACAAAAAUAAAAUGUCAAACUUGGUUAAAAUUCUUAUGGUAGUUUCAAGUAUGUAAUGCCUUUAAGGACUUAGUACUACUACAAAAAAAACUGAUUGCCUUGUAUUAAAAAAUUCUAUUUUCUUUUAAGAAAUUUCAAUUCCCACCAUUCAAGAAAUAUAUUUUUACAUUGAAAUAAGGUUUUAUAUUGUACUAAAAUUCCAUAUGGAAUUUAUUUUUUUUUAUUUGUUUAAUUAGCAUGGUCACUGGAAGACAGUUAACGUAGUUUUCAAAUAUUUAACUAACCCCUUGGUUGUUAACAGCUCACUGCCUUCCAGCGGCCGUUCUGGUUCUGUCCUAACCAACCACUAAUGAUUUUGCUUUCUUCCUGAGGUUGACGGAAACUUAAGUCAGUUACGAAGGAGAUUUCAAUCACGAAGGGUCUCGUAACUCAGAUACUCUGAGCUCUAUUGACUAUAUAAGGAUAUACAGCUAUAUCUUUGAAGUGACGACGACUAUUCCUUUCGACAUGUAAUCGCCGUUUAAACCCAGCCAGGAAGAAGCAUUCCUUCAUCGCAGUCUCUCACUCUACACGUACUUCGCCUUCGUCCCAGGAUGAUAUCGGUAUUUUGGAAGUGGCUGAAUUACUGCGGCUCCCCCAAGCUUCACGAUGAUCAACUUUGUGUAUUAGCUGCCGCAUCAGCACCUGGAUGAUAGGACAGUUUUCAAUUACAAUAAAUUACUUAAUUU